AACUGGGAUUAGAUACCCCACUAUGCCUAGCUGUAAACCCUGGUAGAAUAUAACAGUCUACCCGCCCGAGUACUACGAGUAAGUAACUUGAAACUCAAAAGACCUGGCGGUACUUUAUAACCCCUAGAGGAGCCUGUUCUA
This 141-nucleotide ribosomal RNA is filed under the name Callionymus lyra (dragonet). RNAcentral describes it as "partial small subunit ribosomal RNA". The record is from RNAcentral. Lineage: Eukaryota; Metazoa; Chordata; Actinopteri; Syngnathiformes; Callionymidae.